Molecule: ribosomal RNA, 253 nt
Filed under: uncultured bacterium
Lineage: Bacteria
Description: partial 16S ribosomal RNA
Rfam family: Bacterial small subunit ribosomal RNA
Source: RNAcentral
UACGGGGGGGGCAAGCGUUGUUCGGAAUUACUGGGCGUAAAGGGCUCGUAGGCGGCCAACUAAGUCAGACGUGAAAUCUUCCGGCUCAACCGGAAAAGUGCGCGCGAAACUGGCGGACUUGAGUGCCGGAGAGGGUGGCGGAAUUCCCGGUGUAGAGGUGAAAUUCGUAGAUAUCGGAAGGAACGCCGGUGGCGAAAGCGACACACUGGGUCUCAACUGACGCUGAGGCACGAAAGCCAGGGGAGCGAACGGG